GAUGAACGCUGGCGGCGUGCCUAAUACAUGCAAGUAGAACGCUGAAGCUUGGUGCUUGCACCGAGCGGAUGAGUUGCGAACGGGUGAGUAACGCGUAGGUAACCUGCCUCUUAGCGGGGGAUAACUAUUGGAAACGAUAGCUAAUACCGCAUAAAAGUCGACAUUGCAUGAUGUUGAUUUGAAAGGUGCAAUUGCAUCACUAAGAGAUGGACCUGCGUUGUAUUAGCUAGUUGGUGAGGUAACGGCUCACCAAGGCGACGAUACAUAGCCGACCUGAGAGGGUGAUCGGCCACACUGGGACUGAGACACGGCCCAGACUCCUACGGGAGGCAGCAGUAGGGAAUCUUCGGCAAUGGGGGCAACCCUGACCGAGCAACGCCGCGUGAGUGAAGAAGGUUUUCGGAUCGUAAAGCUCUGUUGUAAGAGAAGAACGAGUGUGAGAGUGGAAAGUUCACACUGUGACGGUAACUACCA
RNAcentral lists this ribosomal RNA (474 nucleotides) under Streptococcus parasanguinis. RNAcentral's name for it is "bacterial SSU rRNA". It matches the Rfam family "Bacterial small subunit ribosomal RNA", at positions 28 to 485 of the family's 1533-position model. The record is from RNAcentral. Lineage: Bacteria; Bacillati; Bacillota; Bacilli; Lactobacillales; Streptococcaceae.